GUUCCUUUCUGUGCAGAGGCCCUGGCAGCCUCAGAGGAGGAGGAAAGCAUUCCGGGAUCUGAAUUCCAGCUCCAUACUGGAUGACUGUGUGAUCAUUAAAAAGCAAAUACUUUACACCUCUCUGAAACACAGUUUCUCCGGUUGUAUAAGAGGGAAGGAGGUUAUACCUACUUUGUGGUAUUACCACUUAUUGAGAUAGAAGAUGUCAACAGUGCAUAGUAACAGGUAUUUUUUGUCAUCUUUACUGUGAUGAGUGACAUCGACUGCCUCUGAGAGCUGGCGACUGACAGGGAGGCUGAUCAUCCAUUUUCCAGGGAAAAUGAGUUUGCUGAUGCACAUUUUGCAGCAGCAUCUGUGUGUCAGACAGUAAUGAAUCCCAGCGUUUACCAUUCAGAGCUGUGACAUCGGCCCAUUUCGGAGGCGGCCUCUUAGGAAGUCAAGGAGUUGUCUGGCCCAGCUGGCUGCUGACCCUCAUUUAGAUGGUCCCUCGGAUCCAGGAGUUGGCCUCGAUGUGGAGUGAAGAGCCCCAGAACUCCAGGAGCGUUUUCAACAUCUCCUCCUCCUCCGCUGCCUUUUCUGGUGGUGCUGGGGACCUUUCCUAAUGCUACUACAUUCCUACUACAAACUGCUCUCCUACGCUGACAUUAGAUGAGAAGAAAAGGGUUGAUUGGAAUUUGAUCCAGAUUUUGCGAGGCGAAUCACGUACAGGAGAUGUGACAGGCACAGAGACCAGCAGCCAGGACACAAAGCCAGGAUUGGGAGGAGGCAGAAUCCCCUGCUAACCUCGGAGGUGCCAAGGCCUCCCGUGUUUUACAGGUCCUGGAAGAAGUGUUUUGCUUCCCACUGACUCUCCUGAGGUCGCACUGAUGUGGCAGCCCAGCCCCUCUUCCAGGGGACCCUGGUGUCCAGCCCUCACCUUUCCGUUCACUUUGGAGAUCUUGCUCAGCGACACUCACGCUGUUUCCAGGUCCCGUUUCGCCUUGCCUCUGCUGCCUCUGCAUCUGAGGACUCUAAGAAAUAUUCCCCACAUUGCAGUUUUAUUCUGUCUUACUCUCCUUCCUCUGGCCUUCUUCCUCCUCUCCACUGUCCUGUUCCCCCAGCUAUAACAUUUGUUGCAGGGUUUCUUAAAUACAAUAAAGCAUCAUGUACAACCAGC
Molecule: long non-coding RNA, 1156 nt
Organism: Cavia porcellus (domestic guinea pig)
Lineage: Eukaryota; Metazoa; Chordata; Mammalia; Rodentia; Caviidae
Exons: 4
Source: RefSeq, a predicted model, not a curated record